AUGAAUAGUUUAAAUUAUGACGUGUGUAUCACAGCUUGGGUGGACGUGAAGUUGUUUGCACCGAGUAUUUUUCCCUCUCGUGAGUACAUCCUGGCAAGUGUCUAUGGCAACGAUACUGAAAAUCAUUUAACAUCCAUCAUCAUAGAUAACCUAGUCACCAUUGGACAAUUCUGUUGGAAUCAAAUUACGUUUCACUUAAGUGUCACGAUAUACUUAUUUUAUUGCAUAGCAUGAUCAUUUAAUGUAUUAUUUCACAAAACUCUGCAUUUUCUGACAGGAUAAAUGGCAAAAGCAUGACUUGAUGCUUCUUUUGAUAUAUGUCAAUUCCCCUUUCAAAGAAAAUCCAAGAAAAAGGAGAGUUAGAUAUACUUUCUACAAGUACAUUUUUCUUUUUCUUUUUGCCUUAUAUUUGUUAUUUCUUUUUGUACUUGUCUUCUUGAGUAGGAAUAUAGUGAGAUGGUGGGGAAAACCAAAUCUAUUUUGGCUCCAGAUGAAAAAAGCCUCUGCUUGUGAGUUGGCCGUGGACGCAUAG
RNAcentral lists this long non-coding RNA (532 nucleotides) under Prunus dulcis (almond). RNAcentral describes it as "sRNA ncRNA". Lineage: Eukaryota; Viridiplantae; Streptophyta; Magnoliopsida; Rosales; Rosaceae. The record is from RNAcentral.